CCAUAAAGGCCAGGCCAGCCUGCGACCUGCUACCCCUGCUGUCCAGCAACUGAUUCAGAGUGCCCUCCGGCCCAGCCAUGAAGCUCAUCCUGUCGCUCUCGGUCUUGGCGGUGGCUCUGUUGAUGGUUUUGGAAGGCCCAGCUCCGGCCCAGGCCGACUCAGUCAUCCCGGACAAAGUGCAGACACUUUGGAGCAACGUGAAGGACACGGUCGAGAAAGCCUUUGAAAGCAUCAACUGGGACUGGUUUUCAGAUAAAUUCAGAGAAGCAACGGAUUCAAUAAAAAGUACAUUCUCCUGAACACCAGGAGGGCUGCCCCUUUCUUCUGUGGCUGCGCCCCUGGAGGGGGCUCUAACAUUUCCCCCGCACCACGGCCUCCUGUUCGGAGGACUUCCUCCAUUAUGCCCCACAUUCCCUCCCACCACCACCACCAAUAAAAAUCCUAUAGAGAAA
Long non-coding RNA from Myotis lucifugus (little brown bat), 452 nucleotides. RefSeq lists it as uncharacterized. The record is from RefSeq and is a predicted model, not a curated record. NCBI's taxonomy places the organism in Eukaryota, Metazoa, Chordata, Mammalia, Chiroptera, Vespertilionidae. The transcript has 4 exons.